Molecule: ribosomal RNA, 513 nt
Filed under: uncultured bacterium
Lineage: Bacteria
Description: partial 16S ribosomal RNA
Rfam family: Bacterial small subunit ribosomal RNA
Source: RNAcentral
GACGAUCGCUGGCGGCGUGCUUAACACAUGCAAGUCGAACGAAAAGAGGGAAAGAGCUUGCUCUUUCCGGAAUUGAGUGGCAAGCGGGUGAGUAACACGUAAACAACCUGCCUUCAGGAUGGGGACAACAGACGGAAACGACUGCUAAUACCGAAUACGUUCCAAGGGCCGCAUGGCCCAUGGAAGAAAAGGUGGCCUCUACCUGUAAGCUAUCGCCUGAAGAGGGGUUUGCGUCUGAUUAGCUGGUUUGAGGGGUAACGGCCCACCAAGGCGACGAUCAGUAGCCGGUCUGAGAGGAUGAACGGCCACACUGGAAUUGAGACACGGUCCAGACUCCUACGGGAGGCAGCAGUGGGGAACCUUCCGCAAUGGGCGAAAGCCUGACGAAGCAACGCCGCGUGAGUGAUGACGGCCUUCGGGUUGUAAAACUCUGUGAUCCGGGACGAAAAGGCAGAGUGCGAAGAACCAACUGAAUUGACGGUACCGGAAAAGCAGGCCACGGCUAACUACGUG